This 468-nucleotide ribosomal RNA is filed under the name uncultured bacterium. Its description in RNAcentral is "partial 16S ribosomal RNA". It matches the Rfam family "Bacterial small subunit ribosomal RNA", at positions 28 to 507 of the family's 1533-position model. The record is from RNAcentral.
GACGAACGCUGGCGGCGUGCUUAACACAUGCAAGUCGAACGGAAAGGCCCUGCUUUUGUGGGGUGCUCGAGUGGCGAACGGGUGAGUAACACGUGAGUAACCUGCCCUUGACUUUGGGAUAACUUCAGGAAACUGGGGCUAAUACCGGAUAGGAGCUCCUGCUGCAUGGUGGGGGUUGGAAAGUUUCGGCGGUUGGGGAUGGACUCGCGGCUUAUCAGCUUGUUGGUGAGGUAGUGGCUUACCAAGGCUUCGACGGCUAGCCGGCCUGAGAGGGUGACCGGCCACAAUGGGACUGAGAUACGGCCCAGACUCCUACGGGAGGCAGCAGUGGGGAGUAUUGCGCAAUGGGCGGAAGCCUGAUACAGCAGCGCCGCGUGCGGGAUGACGGCCUUCGGGUUGUAAACCGCUUUCGCCUGUAACGAAGCGUGAGUGACGGUAAUGGGUGAAGAAGCACCGGCUAACUACGUG